Molecule: transfer RNA, 68 nt
Filed under: Marmota monax (woodchuck)
Lineage: Eukaryota; Metazoa; Chordata; Mammalia; Rodentia; Sciuridae
Description: tRNA.Ala
Source: RNAcentral
GGAAUGUAGCUCAGAGGUAGAGUGCUUGCCUAGCAUGCACGAGGUCCUGUGUUCAAUCCCCAAAUCCA